Molecule: ribosomal RNA, 856 nt
Filed under: uncultured bacterium
Lineage: Bacteria
Description: bacterial SSU rRNA
Rfam family: Bacterial small subunit ribosomal RNA
Source: RNAcentral
UCGAGGGGCAGCGGGGAGCAAGCUUGCUUGCUCUGCCGGCGACCGGCGCACGGGUGAGUAACACGUAUGCAACCUGCCCUCCGCAGGGGGAUAACCCGGAGAAAUCCGGACUAAUACCGCGUGGUACACCUGUGGGGCAUCCCACGGGUGUUAAAAGGAAGUGAUUCCGGCGGAGGAUGGGCAUGCGGCGCAUUAGCUUGUUGGCGGGGUAACGGCCCACCAAGGCUACGAUGCGUAGGGGUUCUGAGAGGAAGGUCCCCCACACUGGUACUGAGACACGGACCAGACUCCUACGGGAGGCAGCAGUGAGGAAUAUUGGUCAAUGGGCGGGAGCCUGAACCAGCCAAGUCGCGUGAGGGAAGACGGUCCUAUGGAUUGUAAACCUCUUUAGGCGGGGAGCAAUGCCGGGCACGCGUGCCCGGAGGGAGAGUACCCGCAGAAUAAGCAUCGGCUAACUCCGUGCCAGCAGCCGCGGUAAUACGGAGGAUGCGAGCGUUAUCCGGAUUUAUUGGGUUUAAAGGGUGCGUAGGCGGAUUUUUAAGUCAGCGGUAAAAUGUCCGGGCUCAACCCGGGCCGGCCGUUGAAACUGGGGAUCUUGAGUGGGCGAGAAGUAUGCGGAAUGCGUGGUGUAGCGGUGAAAUGCAUAGAUAUCACGCAGAACUCCGAUUGCGAAGGCAGCAUACCGGCGCCCGACUGACGCUGAGGCACGAAAGCGUGGGGAUCGAACAGGAUUAGAUACCCUGGUAGUCCACGCAGUAAACGAUGAAUGCUAGUUGUCCGGUUCUUUGGGACUGGGUGACACAGCGAAAGCGUUAAGCAUUCCACCUGGGGAGUACGCCGGCAACGGUGAAACUCA